This 841-nucleotide long non-coding RNA is filed under the name Setaria italica (foxtail millet). Its description in RNAcentral is "long non-coding RNA (SITA_LNC001850)". The record is from RNAcentral. Lineage: Eukaryota; Viridiplantae; Streptophyta; Magnoliopsida; Poales; Poaceae.
CCAUCAGAGCACACACACACACACACACAUAUACAAACCCCCACAUUCAUUUGCAUCUCUCUGGCUCCCACUGACCAACCUGCAAUGGCUUCUCCACAAAUGACAAUGGCGAUCUUCUUCGUCGUCCUCCUGGCAUCAUCUUCACCUUGUCUCGCUCGAGCUAGGCUAAUGAUCUUAAGUAGUGAUCACCAAGCACAACCAGAUAGCAAUACUAGCCCUGCGGCCAGCUCUACAACUACUACGACCACCUCACCUCAGCAGCUGGUACAAGGAGUAGUGGCCGCAGUGCCGUCGCCGCCGGCGACCGGCGAGGUCGACGUCGACCAUCCUGAGAGCAACGGCGGCUGGAUGCCGGACGGAUCGGUGCCGAGCCCCGGCGUCGGCCACCAUCCAUAGAGAUGGCGCGUCGCGUGUAGUUGUGUACCGUACCGUACAUACUUUGUGAAUCUGGCUUAUUCAUAUAUAUACCUAACUAAAGCUAGGUAGUGUGUGUUUGUGUGUGUGUGUAUGUAUGUGGCGAUCGAUCAAGGGGUGCUCCAGUGCUUGCAUGUUCGAUCUUUCUUGUUCUAUAUACGUUCAAAAAUUUAAAUAAAAAAAAGUUUCAAAGCGAAUACAAAAUUAAGCAGAUAGGAUCAGCUUCAUUUUUGUUUUGAGUGGCGAAUGAGUGCCAAUAUAUGAAUAAUGCUGCGAGAGGCGACAGCGACAUCGACAGAUUGCGCCGGAUUUGAUUUUAUUUCUGUGUUAAUUGGAGUCGUGCGUGUCCCAGUGGCGCCACUAUAUGUAUUGACGCUUAAUGUUAAUGGAAAUUAAUUAGGGCACUUGCUGCCAAUUUGCCUUUUAA